This 792-nucleotide ribosomal RNA is filed under the name uncultured archaeon. RNAcentral's name for it is "bacterial SSU rRNA". It matches the Rfam family "Archaeal small subunit ribosomal RNA", at positions 85 to 879 of the family's 1478-position model. The record is from RNAcentral.
ACUGCUCAGUAACACGUGGACAACCUGCCCUUAGGUUGGGUAUAAACCCGGGAAACUGGGUAUAAUACCCGAUAGGUCUCGAUUGCUGGAAUGCAUCGAGAUUUAAAGCUCCGGCGCCUAAGGAUGGGUCUGCGGCCUAUCAGGUAGUAGUGGGUGUAGCGUACCUACUAGCCUACGACGGUACGGGUUGUGAGAGCAAGAGCCCGGAGAUGGAUUCUGAGACACGAAUCCAGGCCCUACGGGGUGCAGCAGGCGCGAAAACUUUACAAUGCUGGCAACAGCGAUAAGGGAACCUCGAGUGCCAGGUUACAAAUCUGGCUGUCGGGAUGCCUAAAAAGCAUUUCAUAGCAAGGGCCGGGCAAGACCGGUGCCAGCCGCCGCGGUAACACCGGCGGCUCGAGUGGUAACCGUUAUUAUUGGGUCUAAAGGGUCUGUAGCCGGCCGGAUAAGUCUCUUGAGAAAUCUGGCAGCUUAACUGUCAGGCUUUCAGGAGAUACUGUCUGGCUCGGGGCCGGGAGAGGUGAGAGGUACUUCAGGGGUAGGGGUGAAAUCUUGUAAUCCUUGAAGGACCACCAGUGGCGAAGGCGUCUCACCAGAACGGACCUGACGGCAAGGGACGAAAGCUAGGGGCACGAACCGGAUUAGAUACCCGGGUAGUCCUAGCCGUAAACGAUACUCGCUAGGUGUCGGCCACGGUGCGACCGUUGUCGGUGCCGUAGGGAAGCCGUGAAGCGAGCCACCUGGGAAGUACGGCCGCAAGGCUGAAACUUAAAGGAAUUGGCGGGGGAGCAC